GCACCGUCGUCGAUCCCAACGGCCCGUAC
Molecule: small RNA, 29 nt
Filed under: Bombyx mori (domestic silkworm)
Lineage: Eukaryota; Metazoa; Arthropoda; Insecta; Lepidoptera; Bombycidae
Description: ovarian small RNA-2726
Source: RNAcentral